Long non-coding RNA from Mesocricetus auratus (golden hamster), 763 nucleotides. RefSeq lists it as uncharacterized. NCBI's taxonomy places the organism in Eukaryota, Metazoa, Chordata, Mammalia, Rodentia, Cricetidae. The transcript is spliced from 2 exons. The record is from RefSeq and is a predicted model, not a curated record.
GUUGCUCUCCCGUGCACCCCCUUUUAUGUUCUCAGUUGCUGCAGUUUGGGUGCCAAAUACCCUGCUGGGAUUUGUGUAGUUGGGCACCUGUUCCCCCAGAUGGUGGCGCUAUUUGGGGGAGGUUCUGGAGCUUUUAGGAGGUGGGGCUGACCUGGAGGAAGUGUGCUGUUGGAGGGAGGUGGCAAGCCCUGAGGUGCACAGGCUCCCCAGGCUUCCUGUGCCCUCUGCUUUCCUUCCGAUCCUCAUAGAUGCGAGCAAGCAGCCUCCUUUCCCUGCAGCCCCGUGGGAGCUGUACCCAUCGCCGUGAUUUUUGGAUUAGUUUUGAAUGAGUUUCACGAGCCUGCUUCUGAAGUCCUGGGAUCUACACUUGGAAAACUGAUGCUCUGACUUGGAACCCUUGUUCACUCCGGUGUUUUGCUUUGGACAAUAAAUCUCAUUGAGUCGUUUUCUUCUUUGACAAAUGUGAGGACGAUACCUUCCCAUAGUGCAUAGAAGACAAAACGGGAUAACACAUUUUCGGCAUAAUCUCUAGUAAUGUUACAUUUUUUUUUCAAAAAGUUUUGCGCCUUCUAAGAAAGACUGCUCAGCAUCCUUGUUAGACACAUUCCUCUAUUAUUUUUCCCUUUUUCUGGUUUUCUUUGCUUUGAUUUUUGUUGCUUGGUAGUUUAAUGUUUACCUCCUCUUUCAUCCCAGUUCCUCUCCUGUCCAAUGUCUUUCUCCUAUUUCAUAAAUUUAUAUUUUUAAAUAAAAUCUUCUUUUGUUA